This is a long non-coding RNA of Mobula hypostoma (lesser devil ray), 3626 nucleotides long. RefSeq lists it as uncharacterized. The transcript has 3 exons. NCBI's taxonomy places the organism in Eukaryota, Metazoa, Chordata, Chondrichthyes, Myliobatiformes, Myliobatidae. The record is from RefSeq and is a predicted model, not a curated record.
CGUACUUUUGUUAGCGCAAUUUCCUUGCUGUUAUAUUUCCUCGUGUAAGCACGUUGCUGGUCUGCUGAUUUCAAGCAUGUAAAAUUGACUUGAAACUGCUUUUCCACGCGAAAGUUCUCAUUACGCAUAUUUCAUUCGAGUCCCGAAGCACUACCUCAAUUCCCAAUGUUUUCUCUGCUGUAACUACUCUUGCACAGAAAUAACGUCUAACAUCCAACUAUGCAUCAACGGUACUCCAUUAAUCUCUAGUUUGUUAAAUUAGCUCAAUAAAUUACCACUGUAAUCUCAGAGUUUUCGAUGGAGUCUACGUGUCCACACGGCUCCAUAACGUAUCAAACCAUCUACGCUGUUUCGUCUCGCGAACCUAAAAUCAGUUCAUUUUUGGUUGCGCAACAUUUAUUUUUGAAGUGGAAAUGAAAACGCAGGAUUGAAUCUGCAGAUGAAAAAAACGACUACACUAUCAACCGACGCAAAUAAAAGAAAAAUGGUAAUAACUGACCAGUCGGACCCGAUUCAAUUCUUGACCGAAUCGCUGCAAUGGAGAAUUUGCUGAGAAAUUUCUCAAGGGCAUUCUGAAGAUUUAUUUUUCAAUCUCAUCGUGAAGACCCGAGCAAGACAGAUCAAGUUAAUCUCCACCCAACCCUUUCGUACCCUGUUAUUUAUUUGCAAGAAGGUUGCAAACUGUCGAGGAAAAUGCGAUGCGGUCUGCAGGCUGAAGAAUUCACGUUUGUUGAAAUAAACCCGUGAACUUUUUUUUUGUAUUUUUUUAAACUGAAAAGCAGUGAGGAGCCGCGAGUUUGAGCCGUAAUGGGGCUGGUUAUUCUGUUGCUUCCACUGACGUGCUGAACAAAUGAGGCACUCUGCUCGUUAAAAGGUAGGCGCGAUGAAAGGUCUCUCAAGAAUGAAAGAUCUGCAUGACUAUUGUGUGUUUUAUGGGAGAAGCAGAAUGAUAUAAGCAAAUCGGAAAUAAAAGAUAAAAAAACUAAGGCUUUGAUCAAUAGUCAACUCAGAAUUUAAUAAAAUAUAUAUAUUUCUACAUAGAGAGCAAUAUAAUUAAGAAAUCAAACGGACAUUACAUGCAAUAUAGAUAUUUAUACGAGUAAAGGACGGAUGCCACUUCGAAUGGAGGAUGGAAAUAAAACAGCUAUCGGGGCCAUUCUUAUAUCUGUGGAUGUAAAAUGGCCAAGCAUCUUUACCUCAAUAGUUCCGUAGGAAAUAAGAUGGAUAAUGUAACAGAUAUCACUCGAAUGAUGUUCGGUUGUCGAAAGGUCAAUAGUAUUCCUAUUCAGCUCCUGGUCGUGUACAGUUUAAUAAAUGACAGCAAUCCUUUGUUUUUAAAAAGAAGAACGCGAGUGUAUCACGAUGUACAGCAAUCAUUGCUGUAUGUAAUAAAUUCCCUCAAUCAUUCAGUACAGGUACAUGAUACUCUCCUUUUUCAUUCUUCCCGUCUCCUCACUCAAAUAAUCUCUUUAACAUCCCCCGUCUAUUGUAGCCCCCCCCCCCCCCCAUCCAAACAUAUCCUGCAGUGUCUUGCUUUGUGUCCUCUAGCCAUUUUCGGUAUCCUAAUCAAUGCUUUAACUACCAGCCCGGCAGUUCCUUCCUUCGAAGCUGUGGAAUGAAAAUGUACACUUAAACUGAUUCAAACCCUGCUGACAGUGUUUGGGGGAAAAUCCGCCUGAAAACGGAUGGCAAAUAUGUUCGAGGAAACAUUACUGUGAAUACCACAUCGGUAUUAAUUGACUGCUAUUGCGCAGAACUUUUUUGUUCAAUAUAAAUGAGAAUAUUUUACCUACAGUAACAGCUCAGUUUUUCAUUGGCUAUCUAAACCAUUCUAUCACCGUCCCUGUGUGUGCUCUACAUGUUUGUAACGCUGUCCGGAUUCUUGUCCCUCUUUUUCUGUUCCAUCGUGUAAUUACAGCCUUUUCCCCAGUCCACGCUGUAAUAUGGAGUACUCACUCUCCCACACUGCAUGUGUGUUAAAUGUUGAAUUCUACUUUCGCACGUAAUCCUUUCAAUCCGCCUUUUUUCCACACAAGGUUACCCGUCAGCAAUUUAAGGAAACAAAAUGUUCAAUUCUGAGUGACCCUUUUAAAAAUCUAAAUACUAAAAAAAAAUUGCUUUCUCAAAGAAUUACAUCAGAUUGAAAAAAAGAGAACCAGUUAAGACUACCAGUUUUUUCGAGACAACGUGCCCGGGGGCAGAGACUGGACAUUAACCUGUCUCCGACUCAGCCGAAGAAUGAUAUACACACGGAGGCUCUUACAGAGGGGUUUCAGUGAGAUUCACCAAGACACACUGAAAACGGAAAGUUCGUGGGUUCACCUUGACACAUUUGGGUAUGUCUCAACCACCAAGCACACAUUUUGCAGUUACAGAGAAAGGGAUCUCGUGCAUAGAAUGACUUCGCCAAAGGUGAAUGUACAGCGAAAUAUAGAGAAAGAUAAAUACCGGCAAAAGUAGAAUCUUAAGGUGAUUGUAUCAAAUCUUAAGAUCUGUAAUGUUUAGAAAAACAAGGAAGUCAAAUUAAAAAUAAAUGUAAUGGGCACAGUGGAAUUCAGAUGGAGAUUUCUCCUAAUAUGUCAGGAAUCAGGCUAAACUAACGCAUAUCUUAAAUGGCAUAAAAAUGAGUGUAAGAUCUACUGAUACAAAUGUGUGAAUAGACAUACAUCAAUUGGUAUAGGAUGCAAAAGUCAUUGAAAAGCAGAUGAAUAGCCUGUUAAAUAAUGUGUGAGAGUGUUGAGAGAGAGAAAGAGAGAGAAUGAAGCAUGACAAUAUCAGCAUAAAUAAAAAAAUGCUGGGGAAUUCAUCUCUGGUUUUCCCAUAUGUGCAGACAGGGAAGUUCAAGGUAAACUUGGAGCCUUUGUUAUUGCAUUUGACCUUCAUUUCAUGCAGUCAGCAAGCAGUUGAUGCAGACCGCUGUGUUUCUAUCCGAUCUGCCCCGGCUCAACGAAACAGACCCGCACCCUUAAUGAAUGCUGUCCUGUAUAAUUAAAUAAUUGACCGCUCCCCGGAGGAGUCUUGCGCAGCAUCUGUCCCAUGACUCCACAUAGUAUCCUAGACAAUGCAGACCGGGCAGAUAUUGAAGGAGGGAUCCCUUUUCUUAUGCUCUUUGGGAAAUUGCCUUAUGUGAAAUACGGGAAAACUAAACUGUUUAAUAAAAUGUAUGUUAUUGUAAUAGGAAUAUUAAAACACUUUUGCAUCUUGACGCCAUUAAUAUAAACAUCUAUCUUUUCAAGUCAUGCUCCCUAAUAUUUCCCUUUAACUGUUAUACAAUAGGGGGGAAAGUAAGUCUCACUAACUCAAACAGCCCAGUGACCUGUCUGCUGAAUCUGAACUAAAACCCAUUUUGAAUAUAGAGGAAUGAAUAUAUUGCCUAUAAAAGGCAAACAGGCAGUACACGUGGAUCUGUUUGCGUGGAAUAUGUUUUGAUAGUUUCGUGUACAAAGCUGUAUUUCCGGCACCUUACAAUGGUUGGAAAGUUGAAGCAUUUUUGGUGAAUUCAUUGGUAACUUGUUCUAAUGUCUCAGAGCACGGAUUCACCAUUGGCACGGGGCUGGGGUUUUGUGUGCAUGUUUCUAUAUUGCUUCAGACUUUCACAAAAUCGCAUAAAUAAAAUAUUAAAUUAG